This 253-nucleotide ribosomal RNA is filed under the name uncultured bacterium. Its description in RNAcentral is "partial 16S ribosomal RNA". It matches the Rfam family "Bacterial small subunit ribosomal RNA", at positions 524 to 776 of the family's 1533-position model. The record is from RNAcentral.
UACGUAGGAUGCAAGCGUUGUCCGGAUUUACUGGGCGUAAAGCGCGCGCAGGCGGUCGUUCAAGUCGAGUGUGAAAGCCCCCGGCUCAACUGGGGAGGGUCACUCGAUACUGAUCGACUUGAAGGCAGAAGAGGGAAGCGGAAUUCCCGGUGUAGUGGUGAAAUGCGUAGAUAUCGGGAGGAACACCAGUGGCGAAGGCGGCUUUCUGGUCUGUUCUUGACGCUGAGGCGCGAAAGCCAGGGGAGCAAACGGG